UCUCCUUCCUGCUGCCUUGUAAAGAAGGUGCCUUGCUUCCCUUUCUCCUUCCGCCAUGGUUGCAAGUUUCCUAAGGCCUCUCCAGCCACUCUGAACUGGCUGCAGUAACAAAUUACCACAAACAGCGUGGCUUAAAGCAACAGACAUUUCUUCUCUCGCAACUCUGAAGGCUGGAAGCCCAGAAUCAAGGUGAUGGCAGAGUCAUGCUCCCUCUGAGGUUCUGGAUGGACAUGCAUUUUGCGAGGAUAGCAGUCAAUGGUACGGGAAAUGAUGCUUGCUCUCAAGGAGCCCAUCGUCUGGUGGAAGGGGAGCAGACCUGUCAACAUAGAGGAGCGAUGUGGUGAUUGACAGAGGUAUGCUGGAGCAGAGAGAGAGCACGUGUGCUGGGAGGACACCUGAACCAAUCUCUGAGGGGAUAGGAGCUGGUCAGAAGAAGGGUGUGAGUAAAGGUGGGAGAAAUGGUCUGGGGCAUGCAGAGAACUCCCAGAAACUGGUGAGGGUGGAGCCCAAAGAAGGGAUCAGGGAGUGAUGAGACAAGGCUGGGAGGUGAGCAGGGGGCAGUUGUGGAACACCUUGGACACCACAGGCCUUUAUCUUACAGGCAGCCAAUCAGAAGCCAACGAAAUACUUUACGCAGGAAAAUGAUAAGGCCAAAUGUAUCUGGAAAACUGACUCUGGCAUCCUUGUGGGUUGGGUUAAAGGGUGAGACUGGAGGCCAGCGAACUAGUUAGAUGCUGUUGCUAGUGCAGGCUAGAGAUGUGAGGCUGUCAGCGGCUGAUGGGGGUCUUGGCCAGUUUGUGCCCACUGAUAUUCCAGAGAUAAACACUGUGGACCUGCAUCACAAACACCAUUCUGCAGGUAGAACUUGACCUUCAUAAAAGGAAGACAGAUAAAGACAUCAGAAAUUGUUUUUUAAGAGCAAAUGUUGGAUUUUCAAGGGAUCUGAAAUCAAGGUUGAAUUUUCCAAUGAGCCACCUGGACUAUUCUUGGCAUUUAGACAUCCCAGGGUUUGCUUUCCAUUGAUUUUCCAGUGGGAGCCUCCUUCUCAUGCGUGAUCUUCCUCUUAUACCCUCGGCCCCUUGUCAGCUGCAGUUUCUGACAAGGUCUUAAAUUUUUCAAUGGUGCCCAGCUAGCUGGUGAAGGAGCCCUUAGGUCUGGGCAGCCUGGGGAUGCCCCUUUCCUGCAAGACUGUGUCAGGCACCCUCUUUCCUGGGCUAAGAUCUUCCAUGGGCCAAUGCCAAUGUGAGUGGCAAGGGAGUACAUGCAGUGUAGGGCCCUCUUUCCUAGGUCACCUGUGCCCUUGCGUGGCUGUUCUGAGUCAGAGGCCCCCUCCAUUUAGGACAUUGUAAUGCGGCCUUCUUUCUCUACUCCAGACAAAGGAGAUACGGCACAGGCAGUUGUAAGUGCGAGUCUGGGGUGUCAAUAUCACUCUGGGUGGGGUUGGUUGGCAGUUGAAAGGCUUCAGGGCCAAGCUGUGGGACCACCCACUGUCUGAUGGAAGUGGGUGAUGAAAGAAGCUUGACAAAGCGCAACCGGAGAGAGAUGGGACUGGGGGUGGAUGGGGGAGUGGACACUCCCAGCGGCAUCCCAGACAACUGUUUUCAUUGAUGCGUUCUAUAGGGAAAAAUUGUGAAAGACUUUGAAAUGGACCAAAAAGAUGAUUGGGUGUCUUGUCUAGCAUACUCUUCUGGUUUUUUUUCCAGGCUUUCAUGGUCUUUGAGCUAUUUUACAGCCCUGAAAGUUACAGAAAGCUGGUAAUAACACAAUGAGGAAAGGGCGUGUGAGGCCACAGCAAGAGGACAUACAAGCCAGGAAGUGAGCCCCCAUCAGACACCGGAACCUUGAUCUUGGACUUCCAGCCUCCAGAACUGUGAGAAAUAGAUUUCCCUUGUGUAAGCCACCAGCCUAUGGUGUUUUCUUACGGCAGGAGGAGCAGACUAUGAUCGGAGCAGACUAUGAGAGCUAUAUUUCAGGUUCUUUGAGAUUUUCUUUUAACCAAUUGUAAUAUCUUACUGGUUCCCCCAUGAAUUAAUGAACUAAAUACAAUUUUUGACAUAGUUUGAUUAUUUGCAUGAGAGUCACAAUUUUGCCCUUAAGCAAAAGUUAUUCUUUGACCAUCCAAUCAUUCGGCAGAAUGUUCGUUGAUGCUAUCUCUGGCCCCGGCACUGUGCUGAUGGCUGGAAAUACAAAGAUGAGUUCAACAGAGUCUUUGUCCUCCAAGAGCUCCUUGUGUGGUGCAAAGGUGGGCAGGAGGCACACCAGUGAGCAUCAGAGUGGCGGUGCUGAGGCUGCAGUUGGAGGAGGUCGCUUUUGGCAGGGAUUUGGGGCAGGGCUGGGUUUUUCUUCCUGGGAAAAGCAUGAGUUUUGGAGUCAGACAGGCCUAGCUCUAAGUCCUAAAUUCACCACUUCAAAGCUUUGUGGCUUCAGAUACAUUCACUUUCUUAUCUGUGAAGUAAGGAUAGCAUUUUCAUCUUAAGGGUUUAUGAGAAAUAAAUGAGGUAUUGUGUGCAAAGAGCUUAGCCUAGUGCCUGGCAUAUACUAAAUGCUCAACAAAUGCUAGUCUCAGCCCUCUGGGCUAUGAUUUCAGAGGUGCAAGGAAGGCCCCUGAUUCCUUCCUCUCCCUGCUAGGAGACACCUGAAAUUCCUUUAGGAGAGGAAAACCCUUUCAUUACACAGCUAGCGAAGCACUCCCAGUAUAAACAGCUUGGGACAGGAAGUGUAGUGACUCAACACACGUUAGUAUGUAAUUUGCUGAUGCCAGGGCUUCCGCUUAGAGAAAGUUUUCAUAAGCCUAACCCCUUGCCUGUGGGUGCCUCUGAAAGCACUUUCCCAUCUCUGACCUCAUGUAAUCCCCCCAGCGCCUAUCUGGGGAGGGCAGGCCCUGGAGGAUCAUCCUCACUCCUUUUACCAAGGAGGGGACUUGGGCUUUGAGCCAUGAAAUAAAUAGUCCAUUCCAGGUUACCCAGUCAUGAUCCAGGAGCUGGGCCUCAGACCUCGGUCUCCAGGCUCAAACAACGCACCCUCUCCUCCAGUGGAGAGAAGAGGGGAGAGGAAUCACUCUAGAAGAGAACUUGGGGAACCUGAGCUUAGAGAAGCUGAGUCAACCCUGGGUGGAGGAAGCAGAGCCUCCCGGGAUGGUGGGUUAAGGAUCUGCUCUCUAUAAACUGUGGAAUUCUUAUCACGUUGGGCCUUGAUUUCUUCUUUUCUAAAAUGGAGGUGGUGAUGCUUGUCUCACUGGGCUGCUGCAGGAAUAAAGGGGAUAACACAAGCAGUGUCUAGCACAAUGCUAGAUGGAAGGCUUCAAGCCACACAACAGCAGGAACAAACCUGACUUGUUCCCCAUUGCAUCCCAGCAAUCGGUAAAGCACCAGGCACGUGGUAGCUGCUCCAGUAGUAUUCAAUAAAGGAAUGAUCAGUGAGUGGCACGGGCUCAGUGCACGGCCACCGUUGUAGUCACGGUGUAGGAACAGGAUUGCUGGUGGAACUCACUGAGCUUGGGGAUGUGGAAGAGAGGCUGGAGGAGCCGGGUCUGCAGACACCUUUCAGUGGCUGUGGGGAGGGCAGGCUCAAGGAAGAAUUCGGUUUCUUUGGGUGUGAGGACUUUGGGACACCUUCUGCUCCAAAUCAAAGAGCGAGGAGCUGGGAUACUGCACACCCAGGCCAGGGGACAGGGUGACUUCAGGUAGAAGUUGUAGGCAUGCAGGUAAGCCCCAGAGAGCAUAAGGAGAGAGAAACCCAGGUCCAUGCUAAACCAGCAGGGGCAGCCCAUGUGGGUGGUGCAAGGACCAGACAAGCAGCCUCCAGGAGGUGGGCAGAGAGCUUCGCUGUGGCCCCUGUGCUGGGGGGCAUGGGUGGCCCAGAGGGACGCAGGCUGCCACUGUAUUUCCUGAGAACUGCUUUCCCAGCCCCUGGCCAUUCCUUCCACUAGGAGCCAUUUUCAUUCCUACUCUGACCCUCCUGAGACCAUGGCUCCUGGUCAGGCCCUGAUCUCCUAGUGGAUUUCUGCUGAUUUGGAUGUUUUUGACAGAGCGUGUUUUUAGGAGAGUUCUGCUCCUAAGCCGCGAACUCUGCCUCCAUCUGAAUCUUCACCUCUGCUUUCUACCUCCCCUCUUCACUCACAGCUGCUGGCUCAACUCUCCCACUUAAAACAAAACAAACAAAACCCUCUCUCCCUUGGCCCCAGCUGUCUCUUCAGAUCACGGCUUAUCUUUUCUCCCCCAACUCCUGUCUUGAGAGGAUUAGCGUUCCUUGCUGUCUGAUGUUCUCCUCUCUCAUUCACUUUUUUUUUUUUUUACAAAUAGACUUCCAGGUGUUUUUCCUCUGAGUGGCAUCCCCAGUGGUCUACAAAGUCACCAAGUCCCCUCUCCAGUCACCCCCUUACCACUUCUAAAUCCAACUGCUGUUCUCAGGACGUUUCUGCCUCCCAUGGCAUUUGGCCAUGUGGGCAAGUCCAGCCUCAGGUCCCAGGCGGAGCCCUGCCGGUGCCUGCGGCCUUGGCCUUGGCUUUGACCUUGGCUGGCUUCUUGCUUUCCUUCGAUGGUCACCCUCCCCCUUUGCUGUGAGUGCUCCUCGAGUGGAUCCCAGUCCUCACCUCCUCCCUCCACGCGUUCUCCCUGCGUGAGCUCAUCCUCCCUGUGGCUUUAAUUACCAUCUGUAGGCUGCUGGCUGCUCCAGUGUGGGCUUGUCUCAGGAGCAACAGCCCAGCAGCUUAAGAGCAUCUCCAUCCCCACAUGUGUGAACUUGAGCACGUUCUGAACACCCUUCCCUGCCUUCCUGCAUGGCCACCAUCUCAGUGAGCAUCUCUCUAGUUGCCGGUCAGAAACCUGGACAGGAUUCCUGAUUCCUCCUUCUCUGCCAGCCCCCAUACUCAGUCCUUCUGUUUGAUUUGACCCAACUGUCCCUUAGGUUUUCCUCCUAAUUUGCUUUCCAGUCCACCUGCUUAUCUCCUGCCCGCCUCGGUGAUGGCUUCCUCCCAGGCUCCCUGCCUCAGUUGCCCCGGUUCACUCCCAUGGGCUCAGCAGGUCUUGGACUCUGCCUCACGUCUUGGGCUUCUCUGUCCGUCUGUUCCCUCCCUCCAAGCUUUCUUCAAGCCUCACCUCUUUGAAAGUUCAUGUCACAGUUAAGAGGGAUAGUCUGGAGCCCACAGACCUAUUUCAAAUCCAGAUGUCACCAUUUAGCAGCUUUGAGACCUCAGCCUCAGCAAACUUCUUACCUGCUCUAUGCCUCAGUCUCCUCUUAUGUAAAUGGCAAUCCCUGCUUCUCAUCAUUGCUGUGAGUCAAGUGUGUGUCUCUAGCUGCUUUUGUAUUCUAGAGAAAGGCAUGCAUUGCUGCCAGGGAGACAGGGAUCUUUGUUCCGGAAAAUGACCCACUGAUUGUGUCAGAUAAAGCUCUCUACCCACCAGAGUGAAACUGGGAAGAGAAGGCCAAAGAGUGGGGCUGAACUGCUCCAAAGACAAAAGCCAUUUCAGCAGGAAGCGAUGAGAACCAGGAAAUGGGGGAGUGCGGUAGGGGUGAGGGGAGUCAACCACGGGAUUGGAGGGCAGAGGCUGAAGACAGAACCCGGAAGAUGUGACUGGUUCAGCAGGAACUGGCAAGAGCAAGAGGCCUGAGUUUUAAAUUUCGAGUUGCUCGUUUGGCUAUAAGAAGGUCCCUCCUACUCCCCAGUUACUCCCAACUUCUAGGAAAAUUAUCUUACAAGUUCUGCCAUAGGUUAGUAACAUUUUGGGGGAAAAUUCAGGAUGAGACAGAUCUCAUCUGCCACUUCCUCCAGGAAGCCUUCCUGGACUCUCCCUGUCUCCCAAGUCUGGUUUUGGUAUCUCUUCUUCUGUAGGUCAAUAAGAAGACAACAAACAAUCAAACAAAAACAAAAA
This is a long non-coding RNA of Macaca mulatta (Rhesus monkey), 5870 nucleotides long. The record is from Ensembl. NCBI's taxonomy places the organism in Eukaryota, Metazoa, Chordata, Mammalia, Primates, Cercopithecidae.